AUGAAAGAAAGGAAGAAAUAACUUAGAAACUCAUGUCCUGAAUGGCUGAGAACAUAUUUCCAUGACACUGCAUGAGGUGGGAGCAAAUUGGAGAAAGGGCAAAGUGCAGUCUCACUAUAUGGAUAACCCAAGAUACUGCAGCAGAAGAAUGUCUCUGCAUCAAUA
This is a long non-coding RNA of Penaeus chinensis, 165 nucleotides long. RefSeq lists it as uncharacterized. NCBI's taxonomy places the organism in Eukaryota, Metazoa, Arthropoda, Malacostraca, Decapoda, Penaeidae. The transcript is spliced from 2 exons. The record is from RefSeq and is a predicted model, not a curated record.